This 3732-nucleotide long non-coding RNA is filed under the name Homo sapiens (human). RNAcentral describes it as "HSALNT0318619". Lineage: Eukaryota; Metazoa; Chordata; Mammalia; Primates; Hominidae. The record is from RNAcentral.
ACUCCAUCUCAAAAGAAAAAAAAAAGAAAGAAAAUGGAGGAAGGAGACCCACCAUGAGCCAAGGAAUGCAGAUGGCUUCUCAAAGCUGAGAACAGUCCUUAGCUGAUAGCCAGAGCAAGAUAAUAAAGACCUCAGUUCUACAAUCACAAGGAACUGAAUUCUGCCAACAACCUGAAUGCACCAAGAGACAGACUCUUCCAAAGAUCCCUCAGAAAGAGACACAGACGUGCAGGUAUCUUGAUUUCAGCCUCACAGACACCCAUGUCAGACUUCUGACCUGCAGAACUCUAAGAUCUAAAAGGAUUAGGUAUAGUCUCCAGUUCCAACCUCAGGACAGCAGGAGUGAUAAGUCAUGGACGGCGCCAUGAGGAUACAGAAGAGGCUGCUAAAAGGAGCUCUGACAAAAGCAAAAGUGGUCAUUGAUAUCAAGGUAGAAGGAAAAGAAGACAAAAGAUGUACCAGAACUUCACUUUUUACCACUGACACGAGCUACUUCUUUGUUGAAUCAGGUAACAGUUUUCAAACACUGGUAACUGUCUCCUCAAUUUUUGGUGCUACUCACAACACCACAGCCACAGACAUGACACACUUUUAAGUUGAAUCCAUAUUAUUAACAUGUUUCCUAUCACUUUCUAAGGUCUAGACAACUAGCAAAACAAUAAAUCAAAUAAUGACUUCUAGCAUCAGCCAAUUUCUGCAACCAUGAUAUCCGUGAAGGCAGAGCUGGGAAAAGAAGAGCCGUAGCAGCACACCAUAUUACAGUGUUUCUCCUAUUCAAAUACAAGAGAUCUAAAUUACCUCAAGGCCAUAGAAAACAGUGAAAUUUGGUAAUUAGUUAAGUAAUGAUUUUAAGUAUUUACUAACUUUGUUUUUGAUAUAAUUUACCUAUAAGCUUAUAUAAGUAAUUUUUAAUAAAGUCUGUGUUAAAGAAUCAGCUCACACAAAAACUCAAUAGGCUCUCAUGAGCCAGCACAAGCGGGCUUCACCACAUCACUUACAACUAACUUGAAUAAGAUCACACCAUUAGGAAGUAACAGUGCUAAGAUUUGUAUUCAGAUCUUAGAAGUCUAAGAUUCUGCCAUUGGACCAUGUUGCUCUUAGUAAUAAUUACGCAGAGUGAUGAAGAAAAAGUCAGCUGAUGACCAAACUACUUCAUUUAUCAAGACUAAGAAGUGCAAAACAUAAUCUAUACAUUUUGGAAAGCAGUACAAGUAACAUAACUCAAACAAGUUUUGACAAUUUUAACAGGUCAAUGUCACUUAGCAGGAACAUGUACUGAGGUGGAGUCGCUUAUUCUCCACAUGUACUAGGCUAGACAAAGCAGAACUAAACAACAUUGUUUCUAAAAAAAACUAAUCUUCAAAUUGAUAACUAACAAUUAUAACUGAAAUUGGAUAAAAAUCAUAUAAAGGCCAAUAUUUGUUAGUAGUUUUAAUGUAAAUCUUACUAUAUGAAUGAUAUUAAUAACUCAUUUGCCCAUUAGAAAUUUUCUCCCGUUGCAAUUAUGCCCACAUUCUAAAAGCAUGAUGUCCUUUAUGAUGAAUAAGACUACUGUUUCCAGGUGGACUGCAUACUCAGAGCCAUUCUCCAAACAAUUAUGAUUGUUGGAUUACAUAUAGGAAAUACACUUUUUAAUGCAUUGUUACUCUAGCAGGAGGUUAGGUGACCCAAACACAAAGGGCGAGGGGUAAUUUAGAUGCAUAUGUGAGUAGUGAUGCAGGCUUUUGUACUGGGAGUGUCUGCUAAGUUCAGACCAUCUGAGCUUUCAUUUUAAUGGCUUGUGGAACAAGGGAGAAAGGAGACAAAGUCUAAGAUGCAUCAAAGAUGAAAAGUAUAAAUAGAGAUGGUCACAAAAAGCUGGUAUGCAAGGACUUCAUAUCCUUUGCAAAAAAAAACUGGAGACAAACCCAACCUGCAGAAAGAGAGAACAAAAAAAUUAGCUUGAUUCAAACUUGGGUGGAGAGAGGAAAUUACUCCUCAAUAUUUGUAACCACAAUUCAGCCAUCAAACCAUUAAGUGUGAGAAUGGGAAAAAGAUAUUUUCAGAUACAUGAGCUCUCAAAAAUUUCCUCUCUUUGGAUAUUACUGGAGGAUACAUUUUACUAAAACAAUGAUGUAAUCAAGAAAGAUAAAGAUCUAGGAUCCAGGAAAAAAGAAAUUCAGGAGAAGAAAUUGACAAAAUCACUGAGUGAUAUUGUAUUACUCUUCUUAUGUUGCUAAUAAAGAUAUACCUGAGACUGGGUAAUUUAUAAAGGAAAGAGGUUUAAUUGACUCACAAUCCCUCAGGGCUGGGGAGGCUUCAGUAAAUUCACAAUCAUGGCAGAAGGGGAAGCCAACAUGCCUUUCUUCACAUGACAGCAUCAGGGAGAAGUGCAGAGUAAAGCCAGAUGAACUCACUCAUUAUCAUGAGAACAGCAUGGAGGUAACCGCCCCUGUGUUUCAAUUACCUCCCACUAAGUUCCUCCAAUGACAUGUGGGGAUUAUGGGAACUAGAGUUCAAGAUGAGAUUUGGCUGGGGACACGGUCAAACCAUAUUAGAUAUGGACUAAAUUGUAGCCCCUCGAAAUUUAUAUAUUAAAGCUCUAACCCCCAAUGUAACUGGAUUUGGAGAUAGGGUCUUGAAGGAGGUAAUGAUUGUUAAAUGAGGUUAUAAGGGUGAGGGUCUAAUCCAAAAUGUCUAGUGUCCUUAUAAAAAGAGAGAGAGAGAUCAGGAAUGUGUGAACACAGACAAAAGGUAUUUUGUUUUGGCAGUCCUGGCAAACUCAUGCAGGAGUAUAAAGGCAAAGGGAAACUUCCAGGAUGAUAGCUAUGCAGUAGACACAGGGAGUACCCAGUCUGUUUGAGCAGGCGACAGGCUGUGAGAGCUAUUUCCUCAAGAAGAUGAUACAAAUAGAAUAUCUAGUAUGUUGUAUUAGUCUGGGUUCUCCAGAAAACCAAUAAGGUAGAGAUAUAUAGUUUUAUUAUAGUAAUUGGCUCACUCAAUUUUGGAAACCAAGAAGUCCCACAGUCUUCUAUCUGCAUUCUGGAGAACGAGGAAAGCUGUUAAGCUGGUGGUAUAACUGAAUCUAAGUCUGAAAGUCCGAGAAUCAGGAGUGCCAGUGUAUGAGGGCAAGAAAUAAAUGUCCAGCUCAGAGCAAAUUUUCCCUUCCUUGCCUUUUGUUCUAUUCAAACCAACUGAUUAGAUGAUGCCCACCCACACUGAUGAGAGUAAUCUUCUCCACUCACUCUACCAAUUCCAAUGCUAAUCUAUUUCAGAAACACCCUCACAGACACACUUAGAAAUAAUAUUUUACUAGCUAUGUGGGCAUCUCAUAGCUCAGUAAAGUUGACACAUACAAUUAACCAUUACAUAAGUUUUAUUUAAAAAAAUAAAUUAUCAUGGGACUUUCAACAGUCAUAAAAGUAGAAUAGCAUGAAACCCAUGUACUUGUCACACAUCUGCAGCAGUCUUCAACAUUUUGCCAAUCUUUUUUGUCUGAAUCCACCCAAGCUUCCUCAUUCAAUCUGUAAUCAUUUUAUUGUGUAUCGUGAACUAACAAAAAUAUUGUUCUAAUUGUGGUAAAAUACACAUCAAAUUUACCAUCAUAACCAUUUUUAAGAGUAUAGUUCUGUGACAUGAAAUAUAUUCAUAUUGUUUAGCAACCAUCAACACUAUCAUUUCUCCAGAGUUUUUUAAAUAUUCAAAACUAAAACAUUGCAAAAAUUAAACAAUUACUCAACAUUCCUUCCUCCU